This 95-nucleotide transfer RNA is filed under the name Blumeria graminis f. sp. tritici. It matches the Rfam family "tRNA". From Rfam's summary of the family: Transfer RNA (tRNA) molecules are approximately 80 nucleotides in length. Their secondary structure includes four short double-helical elements and three loops (D, anti-codon, and T loops). Lineage: Eukaryota; Fungi; Ascomycota; Leotiomycetes; Helotiales; Erysiphaceae. The record is from Rfam by way of RNAcentral. RNAcentral also lists the same sequence under 1 other name.
GGACAGAUGGCCGAGCUGGUUAUGGCGCCAGGUUAAGGAAAACAUCCUGUCUCCUGGUCACGAAAGUGGCGUGGGUUCGAGUCCCACUCUGUUCA